UGGGGAAUAUUGCACAAUGGGCGAAAGCCUGAUGCAGCAACGCCGCGUGAGUGAUGAAGGUCUUCGGAUUGUAAAGCUCUGUCUUUUGGGACGAUAAUGACGGUACCAAAGGAGGAAGCCACGGCUAGCUACGUGCCAGCAGCCGCGGUAAUACGUAGGUGGCGAGCGUUGUCCGGAUUUACUGGGCGUAAAGGGUGCGUAGGCGGAUGUUUAAGUGAGAUGUGAAGUACCCGGGCUUAACUUGGGUGCUGCAUUUCAAACUGGAUAUCUAGAGUGCAGGAGAGGAGAAUGGAAUUCCUAGUGUAGCGGUGAAAUGCGUAGAGAUUAGGAAGAACACCAGUGGCGAAGGCGAUUCUCUGGACUGUAACUGACGCUGAGGCACGAAAGCGUGGGUAGCAAACAGGAUUAGAUACCCUGGUAGUCCACGCCGUAAACGAUGAGUACUAGGUGUAGGAGGUAUCGACCCCUUCUGUGCCGCAGUAAACACAUUCAAGUACUCCGCCUGGGAAGUACGAUCGCAAGAUUAAAAC
This 530-nucleotide ribosomal RNA is filed under the name uncultured bacterium. RNAcentral's name for it is "partial 16S ribosomal RNA". It matches the Rfam family "Bacterial small subunit ribosomal RNA", at positions 355 to 900 of the family's 1533-position model. The record is from RNAcentral.